Molecule: ribosomal RNA, 305 nt
Filed under: uncultured bacterium
Lineage: Bacteria
Description: bacterial SSU rRNA
Rfam family: Bacterial small subunit ribosomal RNA
Source: RNAcentral
GCCGCCUACGGGACGCAGCAGUGAGGAAUAUUGGUCAAUGGGCGGGAGCCUGAACCAGCCAAGUCGCGUGAGGGAAGACGGUCCUAUGGAUUGUAAACCUCUUUAGGCGGGGAGCAAUGCCGGGCACGCGUGCCCGGAGGGAGAGUACCCGCAGAAUAAGCAUAGGCUAACUCCGUGCCAGCAGCCGCGGUAAUACGGAGGAUGCGAGCGUUAUCCGGAUUUAUUGGGUUUAAAGGGAGCGUAGGCGGAUUUUUAAGUCAGCGGUAAAAUGUCCGGGCCCAACCCCGGCCCGCCGUUGAAACGGG